GAUGAACGCUGGCGGCGUGCCUAAUACAUGCAAGUCGAGCGAACGGACGAGAAGCUUGCUUCUCUGAUGUUAGCGGCGGACGGGUGAGUAACACGUGGAUAACCUACCUAUAAGACUGGGAUAACUUCGGGAAACCGGAGCUAAUACCGGAUAAUAUUUUGAACCGCAUGGUUCAAAAGUGAGAGACGGUCUUGCUGUCACUUAUAGAUGGAUCCGCGCUGCAUUAGCUAGUUGGUAAGGUAACGGCUUACCAAGGCAACGAUGCAUAGCCGACCUGAGAGGGUGAUCGGCCACACUGGAACUGAGACACGGUCCAGACUCCUACGGGAGGCAGCAGUAGGGAAUCUUCCGCAAUGGGCGAAAGCCUGACGGAGCAACGCCGCGUGAGUGACGAAGGUCUUCGGAUCGUAAAACUCUGUUAUUAGGGAAGAACAUAUGUGUAAGUAACUGUGCACAUCUUGACGGUACCUAAUCAGAAAGCCACGGCUAACUACGUGCCAGCAGCCGCGGUAAUACGUAGGUGGCAAGCGUUAUCCGGAAUUAUUGGGCGUAAAGCGCGCGUAGGCGGUUUUUUAGUCUGAUGUGAAAGCCCACGGCUCAACCGUAGAGGGUCAUUGGAAACUGGAAAACUUGAGUGCAGAAGAGGAAAGUGGAAUUCCAUGUGUAGCGGUGAAAUGCGCAGAGAUAUGGAGGAACACCAGUGGCGAAGGCGACUUUCUGGUCUGUAACUGACGCUGAUGUGCGAAAGCGUGGGGAUCAAACAGGAUUAGAUACCCUGGUAGUCCACGCCGUAAACGAUGAGUGCUAAGUGUUAGGGGGUUUCCGCCCCUUAGUGCUGCAGCUAACGCAUUAAGCACUCCGCCUGGGGAGUACGACCGCAAGGUUGAAACUCAAAGGAAUUGACGGGGACCCGCACAAGCGGUGGAGCAUGUGGUUUAAUUCGAAGCAACGCGAAGAACCUUACCAAAUCUUGACAUCCUUUGACAACUCUAGAGAUAGAGCUUUCCCCUUCGGGGGACAAAGUGACAGGUGGUGCAUGGUUGUCGUCAGCUCGUGUCGUGAGAUGUUGGGUUAAGUCCCGCAACGAGCGCAACCCUUAAGCUUAGUUGCCAUCAUUAAGUUGGGCACUCUAAGUUGACUGCCGGUGACAAACCGGAGGAAGGUGGGGAUGACGUCAAAUCAUCAUGCCCCUUAUGAUUUGGGCUACACACGUGCUACAAUGGACAAUACAAAGGGCAGCGAAACCGUGAGGUCAAGCAAAUCCCAUAAAGUUGUUCUCAGUUCGGAUUGUAGUCUGCAACUCGACUACAUGAAGCUGGAAUCGCUAGUAAUCGUAGAUCAGCAUGCUACGGUGAAUACGUUCCCGGGUCU
RNAcentral lists this ribosomal RNA (1371 nucleotides) under uncultured bacterium. Its description in RNAcentral is "bacterial SSU rRNA". It matches the Rfam family "Bacterial small subunit ribosomal RNA", at positions 28 to 1381 of the family's 1533-position model. The record is from RNAcentral.